ACGCUCGACACCUACGGGCGGCAGCAGUGGGGGAUAUUGCACAAUGGGGGAAACCCUGAUGCAGCAACGCCGCGUGAGGGAAGAAGGUUUUCGGAUUGUAAACCUCUGUCCUUGGUGACGAUAAUGACGGUGGCCAAGGAGGAAGCUCCGGCUAACUACGUACCAGCAGCCGCGGUAAUCUGAGCGGGCUGGCAAGGC
Molecule: ribosomal RNA, 198 nt
Filed under: uncultured bacterium
Lineage: Bacteria
Description: partial 16S ribosomal RNA
Rfam family: Bacterial small subunit ribosomal RNA
Source: RNAcentral